UUUACCAUAAACUCUCUUAAAACUUUAAUUUCUAAUUCAAGUCAUGCAGGCUGUAAGAAACGCAGGGUCGUGGCUCCUGCGGACUUGGCCCCAGACAACUGGGAUCGUGGCCAGGACUCCGGCCCGGACCGUCCACACAGGUGCCCAGCAGCUGCAAGACGCUGCGCCCAAGCAGGAAGUUGAAGAGAAGACGGCAGCUCCCAGACACACCAGCUUCAGCAUUUACCCUCCCAUUCCAGGAAAGGAGAGCUCUCUGAGGUGGGCAGGAAAGAAGAUUGAGGAGAUCCCAGUCGCACAUAUGAAAGCAUCCUACAAUAAGACACGGAUCCAGGUAGUCUCUGCCAGUAACCAGCCCCUUGCCCGUGCUUCCUGUGGCACAGAGGGAUUUUGGGAUGCCAAGAAGGGCACAGGCAUCGCAGCACAGACAGCAGGCAUAGCCGCAGCGGCGAAAGCUAUACAAAAGGGUGUGACCCACAUCCGAGUUGUGAAAGGCCUGGGGCCAGGACGCUUGUCUGCCAUCAACGGUCUGACCAUAGGGGGCCUGGAAGUGAUUUCAAUCAGAGACAACACCCCAUUACCGCACAAGGGCUGCCGUCCCAGGAAGGCUCAGAGGCUGUGAUGGGAAGGAAGCCUGCACUUGGACCUGGCCUCAAGCCUCAGCUCGUCGGACCUUGUAGAAAGCUCCCUGUCAGAGCCCUUUCCAGAAUAUGCUUACUAGAAAUGCUUCAGACGGUAAGGGUAAGCUUUACCUCCUUACACAGUGGCCUUUGCUUGUACCUUCAGCUGGAGAUAGGUGUGCCCCAGAAGUGAGCUUUGCUUCUCUUGACAAGAGGGGAGCAAUGCGGGGCGGGGGGGGUGCUGGGUGCGGCAGCCGUGGCCUAGACCCAACUUCUGCUCUGAGAAAAUAAAAAGUCUGUACCAUUAAAAAACAAACAAAAACAAAACAAACAAAAAAAACAAAGCUUUCCUUUCUAUGAUAUAUUUUCUAGCAAAUUUUGUAUUUGUCUCAUUUUGUACUUGUCUCACUUUACCAAAAGCCUUUCUUUUUACAAGCAAUGAAGCACCAUGCUAACUGAUUUACCCCUCUCACCUGUGGACAGUGUAUGCUUUUAUCUUAAAUGAUCUGAAAGUUAUAUUUAUAAGCACACUCUCCAGUUGAAACCAGUUUUUCAGGGCAUUAGAAAACACCAAAGUUCUGAUCAAAACCCUCAAAACACCAUGUGAAAUGACACAGCAU
This is an RNA transcript of Sapajus apella (tufted capuchin), 1237 nucleotides long. It is a transcript of the gene named 28S ribosomal protein S11, mitochondrial pseudogene, with no coding region annotated. NCBI's taxonomy places the organism in Eukaryota, Metazoa, Chordata, Mammalia, Primates, Cebidae. The transcript has a single exon. The record is from RefSeq and is a predicted model, not a curated record.